Molecule: long non-coding RNA, 363 nt
Organism: Anneissia japonica
Lineage: Eukaryota; Metazoa; Echinodermata; Crinoidea; Comatulida; Comatulidae
Exons: 3
Source: RefSeq, a predicted model, not a curated record
GUGUAGUCAUACCAUCUACGUACGCGGGUCUGCACAUCUGUAGGAACGUUGUUUGUCCGCAUAUAUUUUUUAGCAUUGUCCUGAAAUAGGUGUGAAAUGUCAGACAAAGCUUACCGACAACAGAUGCAAAUAUGAAUACUCCAAUCAAGUAACCAACUAUCUGCACAGCGUAUCUGUGAAAUAAGAUUGCAUUGCACCGUUUGAACUUACAGCUGAACUUAAUAUCCCUUACCCCAUCGAACUCUCGGAAUUGUUUUUUUGUCGAAGACAUUUAUAAUAGAAUUGCAUUCACAAAUCGGAUACACAAAUGACAUGAGGGGUUGAGAUGUGGGGCUUUCGAUCUGUCUUAGCGGAAGCAAAAAU